Molecule: long non-coding RNA, 1673 nt
Organism: Lemur catta (Ring-tailed lemur)
Lineage: Eukaryota; Metazoa; Chordata; Mammalia; Primates; Lemuridae
Exons: 3
Source: RefSeq, a predicted model, not a curated record
CAGAGGGCAGUGUGAAAAGACCACGUAAGGGGUGAUGAUCAGUGAAACCAAUUUGAUGGAGAAGAAAAUGGCUUUCGGUAAGGAUCUGCAUGUUGGUGACUUUUCAUCUCUCAGUGGGAAUAUGUUACAGUACUAGCAUAAAAAUGCCAUCACUGCAGAGCGAUCUGAGAGUCUUAGGAUGAUUAUCUUUAUUGCUUGGAGGUAACAUUUUAGUAAAUGAGAUUUAGUUAACAUUCUCAUACAAAGAACUAUCAUAAUUUGAGAGAAAAGUCAUCUCCUAAAACAUAUUAAAACUAGAAUUUUGUUUAUUUUUUUCCUCUGCUAGAACCUAAACCGUGUAAUUUAUUGGAACAGAUGGCACAGUAGAUGUGACAUAGGUGUGUUAUACUUUUAGGAAAAGCUAAUUUAUAAAAAUGCUACACCAAAAAGUCAUAAAAUUGGAAACUUAAAGGCUUUUUAUAGUCCAGCUGACUCAGCUAAUCUGUAUUUCCAUCUCUGCCAAAGUCAAAUCCAUCACCUGCAGUCUCUGUUGACCCUCUAGUCGUGUGGGUACUUUUAUCUCCUAGUGCUUUUAGCCACUACUUUGUCACUAAAUCUGUGAAUCGCUUUCCAGUUGGUGUUGUUAUAGUUAAAUAAAAUACCAUUUUCAUAUUCUAUUCCAGAUAUCUGCGAUCGUCAGAACAGACCUUCCUAAGGCCUCACUAAAACUGUAGCUGCCAUCAGCCCCGGUGUUUCUGGGAUGUGGGCUGCUUUGCUCAGAACAAGCCCCAUUUUUUUCCCUUAAAACCAAACGUUCAGCGUUUCCUGCUUCCAUAUGUUGCGUGAACAUUACUGGGCAUGCGUACUGUCCUUCCUGUUGUUCUCCAGAUACUCCCCAGCUCGCCCAUUUCCGUCUUUAAAUACCAGGCCCCAAAUUAGCCACCACGUUCCAGGAGCAGUAGGGGGUUCAGGGACCAGAUGGAUUCAGGAACUGACACUCAGAACGAUGAUGCUUAACUGUUUGGGGACACAUAGCCCUUCUGAGAAUCUAAGCUCUGGAAUCUGUUCCCAAGAAAAUGCAUAUGUGGGCAGAGGUGCAAGUUUCCAUACAAUUUCGGAGGAUUCCUGGGGCUUGCUAUAGUUCAUUCAUAAACCGUGUACCCUCUGGGACAGAGGAUUGAGAACCCUGACUCUGUUGUUUUGAGCCUGUACCUGGGUAUAAACAAGGGAAUUUUUUAAUAACCAUAUGGCGUUGGGUCUUAGGUAGAAGGCAGAGAAUUUGGAGGAUCUGCAACUGAAGGUUUUGUUUAUUUUUAAGCAGGAUGUAUUUUAGAGAUCAGAUUUUGAAACUCCUUUUCAAUUAUAAUCGUAUAUGUGAGUUUUUCUCAGAAUCCGCUUUCAUAAAAAAUGUAUUUAGCUGGCUUUUUCCUGCACUGACUUGUUCAGACAUGUUAGUCCUUUUAGGAAAAUGCGCUCAUGAGAUUUGAAAAGCAGCCCACCAAGCCUCAGGCCCCGCUGGGUUCUCUCCUGCUGACAUUUGUUGGACAAAGAGUCUCUUGAUUUACUUGAUUAGGGAAUAACUCGAACCUUGUAGAAAGUAAAACAGACAUAUAUUUUAACCACUGGUCCUAAUGUAAUUUUUUAAAUUAUUUUUUUUUGUGGAAUUUAUGGCAUCUUUGCACAUAUGGAAAUGA